RNAcentral lists this ribosomal RNA (506 nucleotides) under uncultured bacterium. RNAcentral describes it as "partial 16S ribosomal RNA". It matches the Rfam family "Bacterial small subunit ribosomal RNA", at positions 29 to 523 of the family's 1533-position model. The record is from RNAcentral.
AUUGAACGCUGGCGGCAUGCCUUGCACAUGCAAGUCGAACGGCAGCAUGGAGGAGCUUGCUCCUCUGAUGGCGAGUGGCGAACGGGUGAGUAAAGCAUCGGAACGUGCCGUGUAGUGGGGGAUAACGUAGCGAAAGUUACGCUAAUACCGCAUACGCACCGAGGUGGAAAGCAGGGGAUCGCAAGACCUUGCGCUAUACGAGCGGCCGAUGUCAGAUUAGCUAGUUGGUAGGGUAAAGGCCUACCAAGGCGACGAUCUGUAGCGGGUCUGAGAGGAAGAUCCGCCACACUGGGACUGAGACACGGCCCAGACUCCUACGGGAGGCAGCAGUGGGGAAUUUUGGACAAUGGGGGCAACCCUGAUCCAGCCAUGCCGCGUGAGUGAAGAAGGCCUUCGGGUUGUAAAGCUCUUUCGGCCGGGAAGAAAUCGCACAGGCUAAUACUCUGUGUGGAUGACGGUACCGGCAUAAGAAGCACCGGCUAACUACGUGCCAGCCGCCGCCGUAA